AGUGAACGCUGGCGGCAGGCCUAACACAUGCCAGUCGAACGGCAGCACAGUAAGAGCUUGCUCUUACCGGUGGCGAGUGGGGGGCGGGUGAGGAAUACAUCGGAAUCUACUUUUUCGUGGGGGAUAACGUAGGGAAACUUACGCUAAUACCGCAUCCGCCCUACGGGUGAAAGCAGGGGAUCUUCGCACCUUGCGCGAUUGAAUGCGCCGAUGUCGGAUUAGCUAGUUGGAGGGGUAAAGGCCCACCAAGGCGACGAUCCGUAGCUGGUCUGAGAGGAUGAUCAGCCACACGGGAACUGGGACACGGUCCAGACUCCUAAGGGAGGCAGCAGUGGGGAAUAUUGGACAAUGGGCGCAAGCCUGAUCCAGCCAUACCGCGUGGGUGAAGGAGGCCCUCGGGUUGUAAAGCCCUUUUGUUGGGAAAGAAAAGCAGCAGCUUAAUACCCUGCUUUACUGACGGUACCCAAAGAAUAAGCACCGGCUAACUUCGUG
RNAcentral lists this ribosomal RNA (492 nucleotides) under uncultured bacterium. Its description in RNAcentral is "partial 16S ribosomal RNA". It matches the Rfam family "Bacterial small subunit ribosomal RNA", at positions 29 to 507 of the family's 1533-position model. The record is from RNAcentral.